UGUUAAUAUUCUCUAGUCUAGUACACGACUAACAUCUCUGAUGCCAAAAUAGUGUUGUUGUGUAUUACCGCCGGCAGAUAAAAUGAAGCUUUGGUGUGUGUGUGUGUGUGUUAUAUCAGCAGGAGAAGCUACAGAACAAGCACGCGGUGGAAAAGACGAGACCCGUCCAAUUAUCGGAGAGGUGUGAGGGGUCGUUCCCGGACCCAAUACCUGAGGAAGUCGUACAGGUUCGGGACUACAUGAGGUCGGUCUGCAGAGGCCCUCGUGAGCCUGGACACGUCUGCAGCCCCUGAAUGGCCUGUGAAUGGAGCCCCAUUUACACCCUCCCAAGCGUUGCAGCCCAUAUUGUUUGC
Pimephales promelas (fathead minnow) is the source of this 353-nucleotide non-coding RNA. The record is from RefSeq and is a predicted model, not a curated record. Lineage: Eukaryota; Metazoa; Chordata; Actinopteri; Cypriniformes; Leuciscidae.